AUUGAACGCUGGCGGCAGGCCUAACACAUGCAAGUCGAACGAGUGGCGGACGGGUGAGUAGUGUCUGGGAAACUGCCUGAUGGGGGGGGAUAACUACUGGAAACGGUGGCUAAUACCGCAUACCAUCGGAUGUGCCCGGAUGGGAUUAGCUAGUGGGUGGGGUAACGGCUCACGUAGGCGACGAUCACGAGCUGGUCUGGAAGGAUGACCAGCCACACUGGAACUGAGACACGGUCCAGACCCCUACGGGAGGCAGAAGUGGGGAAUAUUGCACAAGGGGCGCAAGCCUGAUGCAGCCAUGCCGCGUGGAUGAAGAAGGCUUUCGGGUUGUAAAGUACUUUCAGCGGGGAGGCGUUACCCGCAGAAGAAGCACCGGCUAACUCCGUGCCAGCAGCCGCGGUAAUUC
RNAcentral lists this ribosomal RNA (406 nucleotides) under uncultured bacterium. Its description in RNAcentral is "partial 16S ribosomal RNA". It matches the Rfam family "Bacterial small subunit ribosomal RNA", at positions 29 to 526 of the family's 1533-position model. The record is from RNAcentral.